This 202-nucleotide unclassified non-coding RNA is filed under the name Hevea brasiliensis (rubber tree). The record is from RNAcentral. Lineage: Eukaryota; Viridiplantae; Streptophyta; Magnoliopsida; Malpighiales; Euphorbiaceae.
GUGCAGACAAGAGACUAUCUUGAGAAGGAGAUUUAACAUCAAAAUAAAACGUAAACAGCAGAGGAAUGACAAUAGGAACCACAAGAAGAACGAGUAACACAACCGUGAACAGAUCAAUUAACCCAUCGUUCAAGUUAAGGAGAUCUUGCACAAGAAUGACACCAGUCAAGUAAGCCGCCAGAAUUAAGGACCAGAUAUAAAC